This 253-nucleotide ribosomal RNA is filed under the name uncultured bacterium. RNAcentral describes it as "partial 16S ribosomal RNA". It matches the Rfam family "Bacterial small subunit ribosomal RNA", at positions 524 to 776 of the family's 1533-position model. The record is from RNAcentral.
UACGUAGGGUGCGAGCGUUGUCCGGAAUUACUGGGCGUAAAGAGCUCGUAGGUGGUUUGUCGCGUUGUCCGUGAAAACUCACAGCUCAACUGUGGGCGUGCGGGCGAUACGGGCAGACUGGAGUACUGCAGGGGAGACUGGAAUUCCUGGUGUAGCGGUGGAAUGCGCAGAUAUCAGGAGGAACACCGGUGGCGAAGGCGGGUCUCUGGGACGGUACUGACGCUGAGGCGCGAAAGCGUGGGGAGCAAACAGG